This is a non-coding RNA of Pelobates cultripes (western spadefoot toad), 297 nucleotides long. Lineage: Eukaryota; Metazoa; Chordata; Amphibia; Anura; Pelobatidae. The record is from the annotation of a GenBank genome assembly.
AUAUAUAGAGAGAGAGAGAGAGAGAGAGAGAGUUUUUUUUUUACUUGAAAUAAACCUUGCAUAUGGCAUUAGGACACAGACAAUUUCAUUAUAGCUUGUUGCUUAUGGUGAAUGAGCCCACUAUGCAGAGAAUAGGACAAAGCAAAUCACUUAAAGGACCACUCUAGGCACCCAGACCACUUCAGCUUAAUGAAGUGGUCUGGGUGCCAGGUCCAGCUAGGGUUAACCCAUUUUUUCAAAAACAUAGCAGUUUCAGAGAAACUGCUAUGUUUAUCAAUGGGUUAAGCCUUCCCCCUA